This 484-nucleotide ribosomal RNA is filed under the name uncultured bacterium. Its description in RNAcentral is "partial 16S ribosomal RNA". It matches the Rfam family "Bacterial small subunit ribosomal RNA", at positions 30 to 507 of the family's 1533-position model. The record is from RNAcentral.
AUUGAACGCUGGCGGCAGGCCUAACACAUGCAAGUCGAGCGGAUGAAGGGAGCUUGCUCCUGGAUUCAGCGGCGGACGGGUGAGUAAUGCCUAGGAAUCUGCCUGGUAGUGGGGGAUAACGUCCGGAAACGGGCGCUAAUACCGCAUACGUCCUGAGGGAGAAAGUGGGGGUUCUUCGGACCUCACCCUAUAAAAUAACCCUAGGUCGGAUUAGCUAGUUGGUGGGGUAAAGGCCUACCAAGCCGACGAUCCGUAACUGGUCUGAGAGGAUGAUCAGUCACACUGGAACUGAGACACGGUCCAGACUCCUACGGGAGGCAGCAGUGGGGAAUAUUGGACAAAGGGCGAAAGCCUGAUCCAGCCAUGCCGCGUGUGUGAAGAAGGUCUUCGGAUUGUAAAGCACUUUAAGUUGGGAGGAAGGGCAGUAAGUUAAUACCUUGCUGUUUUGACGUUACCAACAGAAUAAGCACCGGCUAACUUCGUG